This 309-nucleotide ribosomal RNA is filed under the name Clostridium sp. HV4-5-A1G. Its description in RNAcentral is "partial 23S ribosomal RNA". It matches the Rfam family "Bacterial large subunit ribosomal RNA", at positions 1567 to 1895 of the family's 2925-position model. The record is from RNAcentral. Lineage: Bacteria; Bacillati; Bacillota; Clostridia; Eubacteriales; Clostridiaceae.
GGGGAAGCCGAAAGGCGAAGUAUCCGAGAUCACACUGCCGAGAAAAGUCUCUAGGGAGGUAAACUGUGCCCGUACCGCAAACCGACACAGGUAGGUGAGGAGAGGAUCCUAAGACCAUCGGAAGAAUUGUUGUCAAGGAACUCGGCAAAUUGACUCCGUAACCUAGGGAGAAGGAGUGCCUCGGAAGAGGCCGCAGAGAAGAGGCUCAAGCAACUGUUUAUCAAAAACACAGGUCUCUGCUAAAGCGAAAGCUGAAGUAUAGGGGCUGACGCCUGCCCGGUGCUGGAAGGUUAAGGGGAAUACUUAAUA